UAGAUAACCGGGCCCGGGGAAAAUUAUGGUUCGANUCAGGAAAAGGAGCCUGAGAAACGGCNACCACNUCCAAGGAAAGCAGCAGGCGCNCACAAUUACCCAAUCCCGACACGGGGAGGUACUGACAAUAAAUAACAAUACGGGGCUCUUUCGGGUCUCGUAAUUGGAAUGAGUACAAUUUAAAUCCAUCAACUUUCGAUGGUAGGAUAGACUUAACGAGGAACAAUUGGAGGGCAAGUCUGGUGCCAGCAGCCGCGGUAAUUCCAGCUCCAAUAGCGUAUAUUAAAGUUGUUGCAGUUAAAAAGCUCGUAGUUGAAUUUCGGGAUUGACACAUCGGUCGUGCCUUAAGGGGUAUGAACUGGUGUAGUCAAUUUCUCACCUUCUGGAGAACCGCGAUGCCCUUAAUUGGGUGUCGCGGGGAACCAGGACCUUUACUUUGAAAAAAUUAGAGUGUUUAAAGCAGGCAUUUUGCUUGAAUACAUUAGCAUGGAAUAAUAAAAUAGGACGGCAUGAUUCUAUUUUGUUGGUUUCUAGGAUCACCGUAAUGAUUAAUAGGGAUAGUUGGGGGCAUUAGUAUUCAAUUGUCAGAGGUGAAAUUCUUGGAUUNUAUUGAAGACUAACUACUGCGAAAGCAUUUGCCAAGGAUGUUUU
RNAcentral lists this small RNA (651 nucleotides) under uncultured fungus. Its description in RNAcentral is "SSU rRNA". It matches the Rfam family "Eukaryotic small subunit ribosomal RNA", at positions 349 to 970 of the family's 1831-position model. The record is from RNAcentral. Lineage: Eukaryota; Fungi.